RNAcentral lists this transfer RNA (74 nucleotides) under Spirochaetia bacterium. Its description in RNAcentral is "tRNA-Arg". It matches the Rfam family "tRNA". Rfam says of the family: Transfer RNA (tRNA) molecules are approximately 80 nucleotides in length. Their secondary structure includes four short double-helical elements and three loops (D, anti-codon, and T loops). RNAcentral also lists the same sequence under 1 other name. Lineage: Bacteria; Pseudomonadati; Spirochaetota; Spirochaetia. The record is from RNAcentral.
GCUCCCGUAGCUCAGGUGGAUAGAGCAGUGGUUUCCUAAACCAUGUGCCGGAGGUUCGAGUCCCCCCGGGAGCG